Molecule: ribosomal RNA, 699 nt
Filed under: uncultured cyanobacterium
Lineage: Bacteria; Bacillati; Cyanobacteriota
Description: bacterial SSU rRNA
Rfam family: Bacterial small subunit ribosomal RNA
Source: RNAcentral
GCGGUAUGCUUACACAUGCAGUGAACGGAACUUCGGGUUUAGUGGCGGACGGGUGAGUACGCGUGAGAUCUGCCUCUAGGUCGGGGACAACAAUUGGAAACGAUUGCUAAUACCCGAUGUGCAGCAAUGUGAAAGAUUUAUUGCCUAGAGAUGAGCUCGCGUCUGAUUAGCUAGUAGGUGUGGUAAUGGCGCACCUAGGCGACGAUCAGUAACUGGUCUGAGAGGAUGACCAGUCACACUGGGACUGAGACACGGCCCAGACUCCUACGGGAGGCAGCAGUGGGGAAUUUUCCGCAAUGGGCGAAAGCCUGACGGAGCAAUACCGCGUGAGGGACGAAGGCUUUUGGGUCGUAAACCUCUUUUCCCUGAGAAGAAGAUCUGACGGUAUCAGGGGAAUCAGCAUCGGCUAACUUCGUGCCAGCAGCCGCGGUAAUACGAGGGAUGCAAGCGUUAUCCGGAAUUAUUGGGCGUAAAGCGUCCGCAGGUGGCUCUGUAAGUCUGUCGUUAAAGAAUGGGGCUCAACCCCAUACAGGCGAUGGAAACUACAAGGCUAGAGUUUGGUAGGGGUCACGGGAAUUCCUAGUGUAGCGGUGAAAUGCGUAGAUAUUAAGGAAGAACACCAGCGGCGAAAGCGCGUGACUGGGCCAGUACUGACACUCAUGGACGAAAGCUAGGGGAGCGAAUGGGAUUAGAUACCCC